Molecule: ribosomal RNA, 500 nt
Filed under: uncultured bacterium
Lineage: Bacteria
Description: partial 16S ribosomal RNA
Rfam family: Bacterial small subunit ribosomal RNA
Source: RNAcentral
AUUGAACGCUGGCGGAAUGCUUUACACAUGCAAGUCGAACGGCAGCACGGACUUCGGUCUGGUGGUGAGUGGCGAACGGGUGAGUAAUGUAUCGGAACGUGCCCAGUCGUGGGGGAUAACGUAGUGAAAAUUACGCUAAUACCGCCUACGAUCUAUGGAUGAAAGCGGGGGAUCGCAAGACCUCGCGCGAUUGGAGCGGCCGAUAUCAGAUUAGGUAGUUGGUGGGGUAAAGGCCCACCAAGCCAACGAUCUGUAGCUGGUCUGAGAGGACGACCAGCCACACUGGAACUGAGACACGGUCCAGACUCCUACGGGAGGCAGCAGUGGGGAAUUUUGGACAAUGGGCGAAAGCCUGAUCCAGCCAUUCCGCGUGCAGGAUGAAGGCCCUCGGGUUGUAAACUGCUUUUGUACAGAACGAAAAGGUUUCUACUAAUACUAGGAGCUCAUGACGGUACUGUAAGAAUAAGCACCGGCUAACUACGUGCCAGCCGCCGCGGUAA